CCUACGGGAGGCUGCAGUGGGGGAUAUUGCACAAUGGGGGAAACCCUGAUGCAGCGACGCCGCGUGGGCGAAGAAGUAUUUCGGUAUGUAAAGCCCUAUCAGAAGGGAAGAAGAAAUGACGGUACCUGAGUAAGAAGCACCGGUUAAAUACGUGCCAGCAGCCGCGGUAAUACGUAGGGUGCAAGCGUGAUCCGGAUUUACUGGGGGUAAAGGGAGCGCAGGCGGCACGGCAAGCCUGAUGUGAAAGCCCGCGGCCCAACCGCGGGACUGCAUUGGGAACUACCGGGCUGGAGUGCCGGAGAGGUAGGCGGAAUUCCUAGUGUAGCGGUGAAAUGCGUAGAUAUUAGGAGGAACACCAGUGGCGAAGGCGGCAUACUGGACGGUGACUGACGCUGAGGCUCGAAAGCGUGGGGAGCAAACAGGAUUAGAUACCCGGGUAGUC
This 442-nucleotide ribosomal RNA is filed under the name uncultured bacterium. RNAcentral describes it as "partial 16S ribosomal RNA". It matches the Rfam family "Bacterial small subunit ribosomal RNA", at positions 338 to 795 of the family's 1533-position model. The record is from RNAcentral.